AUACGGAGGGUGCAAGCGUUGUCCGGAUUUAUUGGGUUUAAAGGGUGCGUAGGUGGUUUUUUAAGUCAGUGGUGAAAGCCUACAGCUUAACGGUAGAGGUGCCAUUGAUACUGGGGAACUUGAGUAUGGACGAGGUAGGCGGAAUUUGUGGUGUAGCGGUGAAAUGCAUAGAUACCAAAAGGAACACCGAUAGCGAAGGCAGCUUACUGGGCCAUAACUGACACUGAGGCACGAAAGCGUGGGGAGCGAACAGGAUUAGAUACCCUAGUAGUCC
RNAcentral lists this ribosomal RNA (274 nucleotides) under uncultured bacterium. Its description in RNAcentral is "partial 16S ribosomal RNA". It matches the Rfam family "Bacterial small subunit ribosomal RNA", at positions 523 to 796 of the family's 1533-position model. The record is from RNAcentral.